This 253-nucleotide ribosomal RNA is filed under the name uncultured bacterium. RNAcentral's name for it is "partial 16S ribosomal RNA". It matches the Rfam family "Bacterial small subunit ribosomal RNA", at positions 524 to 776 of the family's 1533-position model. The record is from RNAcentral.
UACGAAGGGUGCAAACGUUGCUCGGAAUCAUUGGGCGUAAAGCGCACGUAGGCGGCUUCGCAAGUCGGAUGUGAAAUCCCGUGGCUCAACCAUGGACGUGCAUCCGAAACUGUGAGGCUUGAGUAUGGAAGAGGGUCGCGGAAUUCCCGGUAUAGAGGUGAAAUUCGUAGAUAUCGGGAGGAACACCAGUGGCGAAGGCGGCGACCUGGGCCAAUACUGACGCUGAGGUGCGAAAGCGUGGGGAGCAAACAGG